Molecule: long non-coding RNA, 1167 nt
Filed under: Cricetulus griseus (Chinese hamster)
Lineage: Eukaryota; Metazoa; Chordata; Mammalia; Rodentia; Cricetidae
Description: lncRNA (ENSCGRG00000026511.1)
Source: RNAcentral
AAAACUCUCAUGACAGUGACAGAAAUCUCCAAGCGAACCAAGAAUGCAAACCAACUAUGUGCUUUAACCCUGAGGUAUUGUGGCCAUCCAUUAUCCUGUGAGUGCGGGAACUUCAGUCCUGCGUGCUCAUUUGUACCCAGGGAUGACUAAUACAUGUGGGAUAUUCCCUUUGGUAUGUUUAAUAAUUUUAGUCAAAAUAGGAAGCGUACCUACAGUUCACCUCAUGCCAAAUCAAACAAGAUUAGUCACACGAACUCUGCCUCGCUGAUAGGCAAAUUCUGAUGGGGAAAUGUCAAAACAUGACACACAGCAUUUGAUUUGUAGUUGGCCUUCAGGGAGCCUUGGUGUGGCUCUUUCCAAAGGAGAGAAAAACCCAGCCAGGGACCCAGGGGUUUCUGGAAACUUCCACAGAAAGUCAUGCAUAACUGGUUCCCAACUGUCAUCUAAAAGGCCUUUCUCUUGGAAUACCGGAACACACUCAAGUGUCCCUGAGCACCCGUUUCUAGCCUUCUCUUUGGGAAGUCGUGAUAACUCAGUGACAGCCAGAAGUGGAGGCAGAAAAAUGACACUUAUUGGAAGGCCACUAAGACCUUCCACAGGCUUCCCCAACCACUUGCAAGCCAUCUCUGGUAGAGGCCUCACAACAGUCUUCUUAUUUUAGACAAUAAAAAGCCUGGCCAGAAGCAACCAAAGCAAGAAGUCAUAAAAAAGUCAAAACUCAUGUCACAGCUUCAGUUGCCUAACCUCUUACAAAUCCACUGGAGAGGAAAAGAGAACAAAACGGAACGGAAAGGGAGGCACAACAGAGCAGGUUAAAAACUGGGAGUCGAGAAACCUUCCAUCAGAGAAAAAGAAACAAAAGAAAUUACAGCUAUUCUUUUAAUGGAGAGAAAUGAAGACUUCGUAUAUAUUGCAACAGAAGCAACUAUAAAAGAAGAAAGAAAGCAUGGCUAACCCUGUAUUUGGAGGGAGGUGGAGUCGCUACCUGCCACAGUUACAUAAGUGUUAAUAAAGCCAUAGCACUAGUUUUGAAACACUCGGGAAUGCAAGACAUAUCUUAGAAUUUUCUCCUCUGAGUCAGGAAGUUAUUUGUCACAUUCAUUAACUUUUAAUACUGAGUUAGUUUUCUAAACCCUCAUUAUUCCCCUUUAGAAUUUUGUGAGAAAC